This is a long non-coding RNA of Camelus dromedarius (Arabian camel), 800 nucleotides long. RefSeq lists it as uncharacterized. Lineage: Eukaryota; Metazoa; Chordata; Mammalia; Artiodactyla; Camelidae. The record is from RefSeq and is a predicted model, not a curated record. The transcript has 3 exons.
AAGUUUGCCUACCUAAUUGCAUCUCAACCCUGUUUUCCAGGUAACUGUGGUGACACUGCCUCCUCAACACAGCUACCUUCUGUGGAUAUAGAAGAGGAAGUCAGAGAUGUGAAGCAUGAGGGGGACUGAAGCCUGUGCUGGCUUGAAGAUGAAGGGACCUAUGUGCUGAGGAAUGUGGUGGCCUCUGAAGUUCCCCCAUUGACGGGAGCACAAAGACAUCCCACACAGCCCAACAUCACAAGGAACUGAAUUUGGCCAACAACCUGAACUCACUUGGAAUUGGAUUCUUCCCCAGAACUUCUAGCCCUGGGAGAGCUGAUCUCAUCUGCUCACUUCUGAGGACCAGGAGGGGAACUGCACACAGGUUGACUCACUUGAGAAGAUUGCCGCCUGCCCUUGAAGAGCCCUGUAGGUGAGGCUUCCUCUUCAUGUCUUAACAGUAGGAUGACUGGCUUCAAAUAUGUUUGAUACUGUCUCUUAUCAGCUGAAUAAUGUUCCCUCACCCACCAAAAAAAUUCAUGUGCCAAAGUCCUAACCCCUAGUACCUCAGAAUGUGACUAUGUUGUGAGACAGGGUCUUUAGAGAGGUAAUGAAGUUAAAAUAAGAUGAUUGAAGUGGGUUCUAAUCCAACAUGACUGGUGUCCCUGCCAGAAGAGGAGAUUAAGACACAGACACACGAUCGUGUGAAGACAUGGGGAGAAGACGGCUGUCUACAAGCCGGGAGAGAGGUCUCAGAAGAAACCAGCCCUGCUGACACUUUGAUCUCCAACCUCAAGUCUCUAGAACUGUGAGAAAAUAAA